RNAcentral lists this long non-coding RNA (411 nucleotides) under Capsicum annuum. RNAcentral describes it as "long non-coding RNA (CANN_LNC019720)". The record is from RNAcentral. Lineage: Eukaryota; Viridiplantae; Streptophyta; Magnoliopsida; Solanales; Solanaceae.
UCUGACUUGUUACAUCUUUACCCUGUUCUUUAGGCGGGCUCCUGACUUGUUGCUUCUUUACCCUGUUCUUCAGGCAGGCUCCUAGACUUCCUUUUUCUUCACCCUAUUCUUCAGGCGGGCUCCUACACUUGCAAUUUCUUCAUCCUGUUCUUUAGGCGGGCUCCUGGACUUGUAAUUUCUUCACUCUGUUCUUCAGGUGGGCUCCUAGACUUGUAAUUUCUUUACCCUGUUCUUCAAGCGGGCUCCUGGACUUCCAAUUUCUUCACCCCGUUCUUCAGGCGGGCUCCUAAACUUACAAUUUCUUCACCCUGUUCUUCAGGUGGGUUCCUGGACCUUCUUUUUCUGAUUUUCAAAUAUGUUCCUAAACUCAAAAUAAAAGGUGAAACAUAAAAAUAACAUCCCAUCUUCAGG